CCCUCAGCUUCAUAGAGUCCAAUGAAAGCUGCUGAAUAAUGUUCCCUUGUUAACAUAUUGAAUUCCACCCCCUCUAUAUAGAAUGAACUCCCUCAGCUUCAUAGAGUCCAAUGAAAGCUGCUGAAUAAUGUUCCCUUGUUAACAUAUUGAAUUCCACACCCUCUAUAUAGAAUGAACUCCCUCAGCUUCAUAGAGUCCAAUGAAAGCUGCUGAAUAAUGUUCCCUUGUUAACAUAUUGAAUUCCACCCCCUCUAUAUAGAAUGAACUGAUUCAGCUUCAUAGAGUCCAAUGAAAGCUGCUGAAUAAUGUUCCCUUGUUAACAUAUUGAAUUCCACACCCAGCGCUUUGUAGUUUUCCAGAUACUGAACGAAAAACUGACAUUGAAAAAAAAUUUGACAUUUCAGAAAUCUCACAUGAAAUACGACUGGACUGCGAUUGUGGCUUCUGGUGUAGUUUCUGUUGAUUACAUCACGAUGUUAAACAUUACAAGAUCUAAAUUCUGUUCAUAUAGUUUUAUUAUUUAUUUAUUUAUUUAUUUUAAAUUAUGUCUCAAUACUAAAUUUCUAGUUCAUGCAAAACUUUUGCCCACAGCUGUACAUGAUGUAUCGUAAUAGAGGUCUGUAUCGCUUGUGAUACGAGACCACAGCAUAAAGAACUACAGCUCCCAGCAUGCCUCACUGUUGCUGCAGGUGCAGAGGGCAGGCUGGGAGCUGUAGUUCAUUAUACAUGUUUUGGCCGUAGCUGUAGCAUUCAGACAAGUCAAUUUAAUCAUGUCAAGUAGCCUUUAUUGCUGCGGGUGCAGAGGCAUGCUGGGAGCUGUAGUCCUAGCCAGCAAGUUCAUUCUACAGGGAGAUUCAAACCUUUUUGGCCAGAGCUGUAGACUUGCAAAACAUCAGAGAAAGAAGGCUUUUGAAAGCCCAGCAGCUGUUGCUUGCAAUUCCAGCUCCUGUUUGAUCGCUUUGAUGAAGUCGCCCUCCGGUCGCUCAGCAGGGGGAAGGAAUCAUCCCGAUGCCAAGCUGUAGAGCUGGCAGAGGGGGGCAUCUAUCACUGUCGCGCAGGAGGAGGAGGAGGAGGAAUCUAGCCAACAUUUGAACCCGGAUCACUGUGAACCGAACAGACUCCAGUCUCUCACAGCCGGAGCACACGAUGAAGAGAUCUGACACGACGAAGGCUGUGUAGUGUUUGAAAACAACCCUUGAGUAACAAACACCAAAAAGCAAGCUUACACACACACACACACACACACACACACAUAUAUAUAUAUAUAUAUAUAUAUAUAUAUAUAUAUAUAUAUAUGCAUUGCCUGGCUGUUUUAUUAGGACAUGUCCUGAGCAUCCUGUUUGAACGAUCACAGCCGUGACGUGACUCCACAAAGUGUUGGAAGGUGUCUCCGGGGAUCGCUCUCUGCCUCUCUGUCUCUGUCUCUCUCCCCUCUCUGUCUGUUGCUGUUUGAGGCUCUGGCUGCCUUUGGGCUUCCUCGGGCCGGCGCUGAUCCAGUCUGAUGUCUCUUGGAGCAGUCAAAAAACCGACAGCCCUGUUCUUGCCACUGUGACACCGGCUCCACGCUCCCCCCACCCCCCCCCCCCCCCCCCACUAUCACUGUCACUCCUCCUGGCAGGCUGCUUGCGAGUGUGCCACUCCCACAGCUUGGCGGGAAUCACACGACAUUCGGGAGGAAAGCCACUCGGGUUCCUAGUAAAGUGACCGGACAGUUUCACAAGACAGACGACCGCCACAACCCUGUAAAGGAGAGCUAACCGAACAUUGAAUGUCUGUUUUGUUUGCUCUUAUUACUGCAAUUAAUGUUAUCACUGCUAGUAAUGGAUUUUAAAGAUGGUCAGCGCUCCUUUAAAGGGAGGGGCCAGCGAUACUGUUAAUAAAGCUAAUAAGAGGUGAGAGAAUGGAUUUUAAAGAUGGUCAGCGCUCCUUUAAAGGGAGGGACCAGCGAUACUGUUAAUAAAGCUAAUAAGAGGUGAGAGAAUGGAUUUUAAAGAUGGUCAGCGCUCCUUUAAAGGGAGGGACCAGCGAUACUGUUAAUAAAGCUAAUAAGAGGUGAGAGAAUGGAUUUUAAAGAUGGUCAGCGCUCCUAUGAAUAUGAAUUAUGAAAUAUAAAACUGGAAAGAUUUUUUUUUUUUUUUUUGAACAAAGAAAAAAAGAUACUUAUGAAUUUUGUACACUUAAAAAAAAAAGCUAGCUUGUUAUGUUUGUGUCUCGAGAAUGGGGUGGGGGGGAUGUACAAAAAAAAAAGUUUUACAAGUUUUAAAGCGUUUGAGCCUAUAUUUGCAUGAUUUCAGUAUUUUUCAUGAAGAGAACUUUAUCGUUGUGUACAGUCCGUGGGUGUGCGUCCUAAUAUUUCGUCCCCCUUUUAGUUGUGAAGAAAGACCAAUUCUCUCUUUUUUUUUAAUGAAUCGAUCUUAUUAUUUUGUAUUGUUGUCCUUUCUUUCUACGUUAUUAUUAUUAUUAAACAAAAAAUCAAGGCUACAAAUCUACAGUCAUGAAACGGGGUCAAAAACACUGUUAAAUCAUUCAUGGGGUUCGGUUUUCAAUCUCUUAUAUUGCUUCAGUUUUUCAUCACUUCCUUGGUCCCCGAGGGUCUCCCCUGGUAAAGGCACGGCCGCGUGGGGCGCAGGGGGGAGUCACACAGUCAGGGGAGCGCAGGGGUCCCUGAGGGUCUCCCCUGGUAAAGGCACGGCCGCGUGGUGUGCAGGGGGGGAGUCACACAGUCAGGAGAGCGCAGGGGUCCUCGAGGGUCUCCCCUGGUAAAGGCACGGCCGCGUGGUGUGCAGGGGGGGAGUCGCACAGUCAGGGGAGCGCAGGGGUCCCCGAGGGUCUCCCCUGGUAAAGGCACGGCCGCGUGGGGCGCAGGGGGGGAGUCACACAGUCAGGGGAGCGCAGGGGUCCCCGAGGGUCUCCCCUGGUAAAGGCACGGCUGCGUGGUGUGCAGGGGGGGAGUCACACAGUCAGGGGAGCGCAGGGGUCCCCGAGGGUCUCCCCUGGUAAAGGCACGGCCGCGUGGUGUGCAGGGGGGGAGUCACACAGUCAGGGGAGCGCAGGGGUCCUCGAGGGUCUCCCCUGGUAAAGGCACGGCCGCGUGGUGUGCAGGGGGGAGUCACACAGUCAGGGGAGCGCAGGGGUCCUCGAGGGUCUCCCCUGGUAAAUUAUUAUGAAUUAGUCAUUCAGCAGACGCUUUUAUACAAAGCGACUUCCAGAGACUAGGGGGGUGAACUCUGCAUCAUCAACAACUGCUGCUGCUGCUGCUGCAGAGUCACUUCCAAUAGGAGCUUGUUUGUUUUAUGUCUCAUCUGAAGGACGGAGCACAAGGAGGUGAAGCGACUCGCUCAGGGUCACGCACACACACACAGCAAGUCAGUGGCUGCUGCAGAGUCACUUCCAAUAGGAGCUCGUUUGUUUUACAUCUUAUCUGAAGGACAUGCAUCUUAACAAGAAGAUUCAUGGAGGUGAUGACAAACUGAAGCAAUGCAAGGGAUUGCAAAGCCAACACCAUGAACGACACAGAAUGGGGAGGAGAGAGAUAUAGAGAGGGAGGAGAGAGAGAGAGAAUCGUUUCAUUUUGUACGACCUAUUCUACCUUUAGUGUAAUUCACUGUGUUCCAUUGUGGUCAGCACCAAAAACGCAGUGUGAUGUGGAGAGAGUUCAAUAAAACCAGACAGAUCCCAGCAGGGCUUAAUGAGCUCAGAGGGAAUCUAUUUAGAGCCAAGGUGAAUUAGGAGAGGCUUGAUUGAGGUCUUUAAAAAUCUCUACAGGAUUUGACAAGCCCAAUACUUUAAGCACAGAAGCCAGAACCGGGGGGGACACACACAGUGUGGGAGUGAGUGGACAGAGGGAAGGAGACACGUCUUCACACAGGGAGUGGGGAGGGGGUGGGACGGGUCAGCUGUCGAUCCUCUGAGACCCGAGUUGUGACACAGUUCUGAGAUGGAUCAGCAGAGCUGUAUAGAGGUCUAUAGGAAAGAGAGCUCCCCUCUCAACACUGCAGAGCUGUAUAGAGGUCUAUAGGAAAGAGAGCUCCCGUCUCAACACUGCAGAGCUGUAUAGAGGUCUAUAGGAAAGAGAGCUCCCCUCUCAACACUGCAGAGCUGUAUAGAGGUCUAUAGGAAAGAGAGCUCCCCUCUCAACACUGCAGAGCUGUAUAGAGGUCUAUAGGAAAGAGAACUCAACACUGCAGAGCUGUAUAGAGGUCUAUAGGAAAGAGAGCUCCCCUCAACACUGCAGAGCUGUAUAGAGGUCUAUAGGAAAGAGAACUCAACACUGCAGAGCUGUAUAGAGGUCUAUAGGAAAGAGAGCUCCCCUCUCAACACUGCAGAGCUGUAUAGAGGUCUAUAGGAAAGAGAACUCAACACUGCAGAGCUGUAUAGAGGUCUAUAGGAAAGAGAGCUCCCCUCAACACUGCAGAGCUGUAUAGAGGUCUAUAGGAAAGAGAACUCAACACUGCAGAGCUGUAUAGAGGUCUAUAGGAAAGAGAGCUCCCCUCUCAACACUGCAGAGCUGUAUAGAGGUCUAUAGGAAAGAGAACUCAACACUGCAGAGCUGUAUAGAGGUCUAUAGGAAAGAGAGCUCCCCUCAACACUGCAGAGCUGUAUAGAGGUCUAUAGGAAAGAGAGCUCCCCUCAACACUGCAGAGCUGUAUAGAGGUCUAUAGGAAAGAGAACUCAACACUGCAGAGCUGUAUAGAGGUCUAUAGGAAAGAGAGCUCCACACUGCAGAGCUGUAUAGAGGUCUAUAGGAAAGAGCUCCCCUCAAUAAUAAAUCAAAAUGCAUUGCAGACAGUCGUUGUUUUUAUACAAUGCAAAUGAACAACAAAAAAUCAGAUCAACUUGGAAGUGAAUCUGGUGAAGUUUGACCCCGUUUCACCCUCAGACGGGCUCCGUCCCGGAGGGUUGUGUUCAUUUUGUGUUCAAUUCCUUAUUCAUUUGUUUUUCUUGUUCUUUUGUUUGCGAUACGGAUGAAUUGGUUUAGUUUGAAAAGUUUGAGUUGUUUUGAAAUCGUCUUUCUCCGAAAUAAGAAACGGCAUUCAGUCUUAAAUCUUCUUCCCCAUUUCUGUACAAAAAGAUCUAUUUCUAUAUUUGCAAUAAAUUUAUAAUGAAAAAAAUAAA
Molecule: long non-coding RNA, 5115 nt
Organism: Acipenser ruthenus (sterlet)
Lineage: Eukaryota; Metazoa; Chordata; Actinopteri; Acipenseriformes; Acipenseridae
Exons: 2
Source: RefSeq, a predicted model, not a curated record